UGAGGAAUAUUGGUCAAUGGGCGGGAGCCUGAACCAGCCAAGCCGCGUGAGGGAAGAAGGCCCUAUGGGUCGUAAACCUCUUUUGUCAGGGAACAAAAGCGAGUAUGUAUACUGGUCUGAGUGUACCUGAAGAAAAAGCAUCGGCUAACUCCGUGCCAGCAGCCGCGGUAAUACGGAGGAUGCGAGCGUUAUCCGGAUUUAUUGGGUUUAAAGGGUGCGUAGGCGGCGGUGCAAGUCAGCGGUAAAAGCCCGGGGGCUCAACCCCGGCGAGCCGUUGAAACUGCAGUGCUAGAGAAGGCGAGAGGUACGCGGAAUGCGCAGUGUAGCGGUGAAAUGCUUAGAUAUUGUGCAGAACUCCGAUUGCGAAGGCAGCGUACUGGCGCCUGACUGACGCUGAGGCACGAAAGCGUGGGGAUCGAACAGGAUUAGAUACC
RNAcentral lists this ribosomal RNA (434 nucleotides) under uncultured bacterium. RNAcentral describes it as "bacterial SSU rRNA". It matches the Rfam family "Bacterial small subunit ribosomal RNA", at positions 355 to 786 of the family's 1533-position model. The record is from RNAcentral.